GACGAACGCUGGCGGCGUGCCUAACACAUGCAAGUCGAACGAGAUCCAUGGGAGCUUGCUCCCGGAAGAUCUAGUGGCGAACGGGUGAGUAACACGUGAGAAACCUGCCCUGGAGUGGGGAAUAACUCGGGGAAACUCGAGCUAAUACCGCAUACCCUCGGAUGGUCGCAUGGCCGACCGAGGAAAGAUUUUAUCGCUCUAGGAGGGUCUCGCGGCCUAUCAGCUAGUUGGUGGGGUAACGGUCUACCAAGGCAACGACGGGUAGCUGGUUUGAGAGAACGAUCAGCCACACUGGGACUGAGACACGGCCCAGACUCCUACGGGAGGCAGCAGUGGGGAAUCUUGCGCAAUGGGCGAAAGCCUGACGCAGCAACGCCGCGUGCGGGAUGACGGCC
This 395-nucleotide ribosomal RNA is filed under the name uncultured bacterium. Its description in RNAcentral is "bacterial SSU rRNA". It matches the Rfam family "Bacterial small subunit ribosomal RNA", at positions 28 to 416 of the family's 1533-position model. The record is from RNAcentral.